UGCGUACAUACAUCGUCUAGUAUGGGCGCUCGUCCUCGGGCUGGUACAUGGGAUCGUAGCUGCAAACGAUAUAGUUCUUUCCAUCCUUGCACUUUGAAAUCCCACAUCCGACCUCGGUGGUUUUGCCCCAGAUCACAGCAAGGUAGUGACCACAUUCCUCUUUGACACAUUUGUUGGACUUGGGGUCAUAGAACUCUUUCUCGGUGACCCAAUAUUUAGUGCCAGCUGCGCCGGUCAUGCCGUCGCCCGAGGUCAAGUUCUCACCCCAACGCCCUCUUGAGUGCUCCAUAGCGCAGUCGUCAACUCUUUUGUUGGCAUAUUCUUGGGCAUACUGGGCCAAAGUUGUGUUCCACUUAAGGGGUUUGUUGCCGACCUCUUUACGAGCCUUGUUGUGCUCCUCGAGGAAGCCAUCGAUCUCUGCUUGGGAAAUGUUUGCAGAGACAAGAGUGAAGACCAAUGCGACGCAGUAAAUGGCCAAAAGUAGCUUCGUGUUGAACGCCAUUUUUGUUUCUUGAUAUCAGAAGUUUAAGGUGUUUUCUUUCUAGCAGAGAAGGUUGGAUUGUUAGAUGUUGAUUGAAAUGGGAAAUGAGAUUGUGCAUAUUUAUGUAGUUGGGAGGGUUAAAUAUAGGAUCCUAAAAUGGGAGAGUUUGUUAAGUUCUAUAAACAAGCAUGGAGAACAAAUAAAACUUGUGUGGGAUUGCGUCACCGAGUGGAUUUGGUAUCCAUACAAACAUUGUAUUGUCAAACAAUCAAUCUAUACCAUUGAUUAAGUGAAGUUUUAUUUGAAUCCUAUAAUGAGGUGAGGAUUUUUAGCUGCAAUGACUAAAACAUUUAGCUGUACAUUGAGGAUCAAAGUUUUGACUUUGUUAACGAUAUAAAUGAACUUUGUUAUAUGACCCCUCUGUCAACUUCUUGUGGCUUUUAAAAAUAAAAGGUAAAGCAUUAUGCUUCUUACCAAAAUACAAAGAAAUGAAAGAGGAAGCAAAUUAAUUAGACAAAAAGGUCACCUUUCUUUCAUAUAGUUUGACGAAAUUUUCACUUUUGUUUUUGUAAUUUUAAUUCUAGCAAUUUGAUCCAUGUAGUUUGAUAAACACGCGUCUCUUAUGUGGAGGAGUAUUUUGUAUCGAAUUUUGGACGAAAUUCGCAGAAAAUUUAGAUGGGUCCUUGAAUUGCGAUAGAAUCAAACUACAAAGGUUAAAUUGACAAAAUUAAACUACAUGGACCAAAAAAAAAAAUCUGACAAAUUACACGGACUAAAAAUGACUUUUUUUCCCAAUUAAAUAUGGAUAUAGAGGAAAACGUUUGAAGGGUUUUGCCUCUCUUGAUCUUGCAACCACUUUGGGCUCUCAUCCGCCCGAGUUGCCCCAUAUCAGAUUGGCAUUGUUUGGCCCAUGAAAAACUCUUGCUAGUUUUCUUGGUUUUCAGGCCCAUUGUAGCAAAAAGGAAAUACGUAUGGUUGUUUAGCCUUAUGUUUCUUAGCAAACUAAUGUAUAAUUAGUCUUUUAUUAGAAUUUUGGAUAAACCAAUUACAUUUUUGUCUAGUUAUAUUUUUUUUUCCAAUAUUAAAAACAAAAAAUUCUCAAAUUCGAAUCUUCCCUCACUUAAAGAUUAAAAAAAAUAAACACAUAGACAUAACUGGAAAAACCAUAGACAUAAUUAGUGAAAUAUAAUUACAACGAACACAUUCAAUUUUUCAAAAUCUAUAAAGACAUAAGAGAUCCAAGUUCCUACCUAUAAUCACUGCAACCACAAUCUUGACCAAGGGUUUUAAUCCAAAAAAUCUUUGAGAUCUUGAAUAAAGUUAGGUGACAUCUCAACCUUUACGACAAGUGUUCUAUUCUACUUUAGCUUUCCAAUCAUAUAAAGUUCUAAUCUUACUUGAAAUGGUAUAAGAUAUCAUAUAAGAUUUGUUAUAUUUAUAAUGGAAUGGGCUAAAUUUACUUUACGUGAAGGAUGUUGUAUUAGAAAUUUUGGGCUAAGAAAAACCACCACACCUGUGCUAUAGCCCAAGUUAGUCCUUACUAAGGACCAUCCUUGUUUAUUGUACAACCACAAUCAAAUUGGUAUACAAAUCUCAUAUAUACAUAAAGAAACGGUGCAUGCAAACAUCAUGAACAAGAAAAUUUUAGGUGGCAUUUGGUAUCCUAUUCAAGUAUGGAAUUCAAAAACUUUUAUUUUUCUUGAAAACAAAGAGUCCUAAAACCCAUUUUUUAAGAUUCAAAAACUUGUUUGGUAUUCUAUGAGGGAACUCAAACUUUAAAAACAAGGAGUUCUAUAUUAGUAAGAUCAGUAGCAAACUCGAGGAGGAAGAGGCUGCAUGACACAUAAAUAGAGUAUAAUUAAUUUUUAUUUGUUUAUUGAAUCGAUAAUUUGAUAUUGAUUUGUUUAAUUAAUUGAUAAAUUACCGUCAAUUAGUCAUAGUUAUAGAUAUAAAACCCUUAUUUUGUUUUAAUUAUACAGUUAUACAAUGGUACUUUAAGAGAGAGUUUAAAUCCUCCUUCAAAUAAUUAUACAAUUAUGCAAUUGCUUUAGUUGAGAGAGCUUUGAAUAUUGUGAAAACACCAUUGCCCAACAAAAUAGGGAAUCAAUGGUUGAGUGAUAGUUUGGUUGUUUACAUCGAGAAAGAUGUUUUUUUUUUCCUUAUAUUAGUAACGCAAAUAUAAUGCGACAUUUUCAUGAUAUGAAACCUCGUCAGCAACAAUUGUAGGUUAAUUGUAAUAUUAUUUUUUGUAAUUAAUUAUGAAUAACAUUAGUAUUGUUUAAAUUAUAAGGAUAUUUAGUUGUCUUAGUCUUUAAAAAUUGCACCUCCAUUGAAAAAUUCUUGAGUCUGCCACUGCCCAUCCAAUUAUGCUUCGCCAUGUGGCAUCCUAUUACUCAAGAUGGAACGUAAUUGAUUGAGAAUAACAAAACAGUACUAUCCACGUGGUAUAUAAGUUUUUGUCAGGAAAUCUUUGGUCAAGGAUAGGCAAGUGGGGUUGUAGGAGGCAUGCAUGUGGAAUAUGUAUUGGAAUAUAGUGUGGAAAAUUUUCUUUCAAUAAUUAAUGGUCCUUUUUCCUUGCAUUCAUUUUUCGUCCUUCUGCCUUGAGGGAAAUGGUAGAAAUUGGUUGAAUUGUCAUUGUUGUCCUACAAUUCUUAUAGAGCAUAAUAGACAUUUCAAACUUUUCCUAAAUGGUCUCGGUCAAGAGAUUAUAGUCUUGUUUGUUAGGGAGGACUAGAUUAGACUAGACUAAACUAACAAAAUGUAUAUAUUUCAUGUGCAUUCAAAGCAUAAUAUGGAUAUUUUGCCUAACUUGGAGGAAUAAUGGAGAUUAUCUAUAAGAGGUUGAUUACUAAAACUUAUCCCCCUAAUCCCCUUGAAAAUGGUGGGAUUAUAAGGGAUAAGUUUUAGUCAUCAACCUAUUAUGAAUACUCCUCCUUCAUCCUCCAAGUUGGACAACAAUAUCCAAAUUAUGCAUUGAUUGCACAUAAAAUAUAGAUAUUUUGCUAGUUUAGUCCAAUCUAAUAUAGUGCUUCCUAACAAAUGAGGCUUGUCAUAGAAUAGUACAUAUCUUAACUCCCAAAUAUUUUGUGCAAUGUAAUUGCGUGGGUCGGUAGCAACUAGUUAGCUAGGACUGAGAGGUUUUCCUUGAAUGUUUCAAUUAUAUAUUAUUCUUCAUUAUUGAGUAACUUAAAAUUUCCUAUCAUCAAUUUUAAUUGUAUAUAAUUAUAAAAGGUGAUGUGACGUGAUAAGAGCGAUAGGCAAAAAACUGCAUGUGUCUGCCUAGUUUCUACGAAAUGUUUCUUGCCUCCGUUGUUCAUCAACAGAGAAAUUUCCACAGUAAUUUAUUGUCUUAACCCGGGAAUCCAAAAUUAGAGACGAGUCUACUUCCCUUGACGAGGAAACAUUAAGCGAAAAAUCAAAGUCUGAAGCAUUUCACAAAUAGCAGGACUAACUAGCAGCUAGCAUAUGCAUGCAUAGCUAGUUGCCAAAUUUUAUUCAAAUAUUAAAGUAGCUAGCGUAGUGAGCACCAUGCUAACUUCUAGCUAGUGAACCAUACAAUCAUUCCUUUCAUUUUAUUCUUGAACAGAAAAUAAAAGCUCAAUAGUGGUUUGUUAAAAAGCUUAAUUAAUUUAGUAAGGCCUCUGCCCACGAAUGUUUCCCCGGGGAUCAUAGUUGCACCCAAUAAACGUGCCUCCAUUGGUGCAUCGCGCUUUUGCACACCCUAAACGAACUGAGUUGCGCCAAACCACCUGCGUGUAAUGACCACACAUCUUCCCAGCAGCACAGGUGUUAGAGUUGUAGUCAUAGUCGGGCUUCUCCCCUACGAACAAGUUCACGGCAGCUGUGCCAGACAAGUCACCGGUGCUCUUCGCUAUGUUUUCACCAUAAGGCCCAUUAGAGUGCACUAGAUUGCAAUCACCAGCACGGGAGUUUGCAUAUCUUUGGGCAUAGGCUACUAGGUUGGGGUCCCAGGUCAAGGGAGCAACACCUACCUGGGCUCGAGCGGCGUUGUGGGCAUUGAGGUAGUCUUGUGGUGAGUCUUGGGCACCAGUGGAUUGGAGCAGGGCUAAGCCUAUGAGACAUACGAAGGCAAAGGAAAUCUUAGACAACCCCAUGGUAUUGGUUUGUAGGCUCACAAUGCAAACUAAUAUCUUGAGUGGUUGAUGAAGGAAAUGAGGCAUAUAGCAUGGAGUAUUUAUAAGGAAAGUGUUACGAGGGGACUGUAAUUUUCACUGAGGGCCAACAUUUUAUUUAUGACACAUAUUGAGAGGCCUUACUAGUCAAAGUGAAAGGAAAAUAAACCCCUCCGUGAAUAAGAACUUGAUCCAAGAUUUAGAAUUUAAACCUGACUUGAAAACCUAGAGGAAGAAAAUUUGCUUUGAUUUGGAAAGAGGACCAUCUAACAAAUUUUCUUCUUGUUUGGGUUUUUUAUAUAAAAAAUAUAUAUGUGGUCUCAACUUGUUAGCCUUUGGAUUAUUAUUUACUGUGGUGGCAAGUCUACGAUAAAAAUCAAGCAGAUUAAAGCAGAGAAAAACCAAGCAGAGGAUCCGAAUCUCUAUGUUAUCAUCAAUAAUAAAGAUAUUUGAAUUUGGGACAUCUUUUAAUAUUAAAAAAAAGAUAAAUAGAGAAAACUCUACGAGAGAAAAAAAGUUUCAGCUGUCACCCCUUUUACAGGUCGGUGAUGUAACGACCCGGUCCUAAAUAAAUUGGUAAUUAUUAAUUUAUUCAGAUAAAAUACCAUUUUUGACAGGACCCGACCCAAAUUCCCCUUUGGAAUCCGAGCCGAACCCUGUUCGUGAUCGACACUUGGUGAGUGCCGAGCAUAAAUGACCUGGUUGCCCUUUUGGUUACAAACUUAAUUUCAUUUUAGCCUUGACUUCUAAUGAAAAUUCGGCAGAGUCUUCCCUGUAAUUUGUUCAAUCCCCAAAAUUACAUCUGUCAAGACAAGCAUAUAUAUACAACCCAACUUCCAGCAUGCUUAUAUAUACAAUCAACAAUAAAGUUCGAGCCCAGGGGCAAUAUCAGAGAAUUUAUACAGAUUUAUUUACAAGAAGAACAUUUGGAGGGCCACGGACCCUACACUAAGCUGAAGAGAUGCAGGAAGCGGAAACUGCCCUGUGGUGACUUUCAGAUGCACGUCUACGGCCUGGGGGCGCAAAACCUUUAAAAGGUGAGUGGACCCAAAAACAAAGUUUUAAGAAAAAUAGCAUAAGAACAUACUAACCCCAUUGUAAAAACAGUUAUACAAAACUAAUUCAUUCUUUUAAUCAUAUACAUACUGAAAUCAAUGCACUCAUAUAUAUAUAUAUAUAUAUAUAUAUAAAUAUAUGUCAAGCAUACUCAUAUCAUCUUUAAACUCUUAAAAGCACUGAAAUCAGUUUUAAACUACCACAUAGGAGUACCCUUUUAAUUUUGUCAAUUCUUGAUAUCCGUCACUUCCUGAUAAUUCGUCAAUUCCCCUGGCAGGUCUCGGUGACAUAAAGUCAACUCAAGCCGCAAACUGGCAGGAUUCAGGGGACCGUAGUCAGCCUGAUCCGCAUUCUUGGCUCCCACGGUCCCGGCGUCCCCGAAACUCGUGAGGCAAAUGUCAAGCGCACUGACAAAAUUGAAGGCAAAUUGGAUGUCCGUGGACAUCGUCAUAUCCGAAGGCAACAUAUACCGAAGGCAACCUGGAUGCCCGUGGACAUCGUCUUAUCUGAAGGCAACUUGUUUCUAUAACUGGGUACCUAAGGUGGCUUAAGAAAAUCUAAAAUCUCUGAAACAUAUGAUAAAUAACUGAAUUUCUGUUAAAUCUAAAACUUUACUGGCAUUUAUAUGUUAUUUAGCUAAAAUUUCCUUUUCCUAUAUCCAUAACGGAUAUCUCACUCGGUAGCAUGUGAAUUCAAAACAUUUAAAAGCAUAUAUCAACUAAUAAAACACUAAUCUUUGCAUAAAACUUAUUUAAGAUCAAAUACUGUAGCUGAAUAGCAUAAAUUCAUUUAUGAAAACAAAGAGUCCACUCACAGCUGGUCCGAGUUCGCUGGACCUUUUGGAGGUCCCUCAUGUGGGUCAACUGGUGCCCGGGUGCCUGAUUCAAGUACCAUAAUAAUAUAUAUUAAUAAAACUGCUCGAUAUAAAUAUUUAAAUAAAACCCUGACCCCCAACUCCUAGAAGUGCGUGCAUCCAAUUAAAGUUACUCCUAUGCCCACAUUAACGUUCCCUUAAACCUAGGAUACAAGUCCCAUGAGUCUGGUCUCAAUCGGACGGUUAGUUUGGUCACAAACGCACGAACAAAGGCUCGAACCCAUUGAACCAGCACAAGAUGCAAAAUCCGUUCAGGGUUCAAACGUUAUCCAAAUUAAGAUCCGCGAAUUCCUACACGCUCUUGACAACACAAGGACCAUUCUAGGACUAAGUGUGGUCCCCACCAAAUGGAGGAGAGAAGGUGAUGGGUUAAAAAAAAAACAGGGAGGGGCUGUGGUCGCGAGGAAGAAGAGUGAGGGGAGAGAGAGAGAGUCAGUUUUUAAAAAAAAUCCUAAUUUCAAAAUUAUCAUUUUGCCCUUCUAUGUAUUUUGACUGUAUUUUCUUUGUUACAACUCCGAUUCAAGUCCACUCCGUGUCUACGGACUCGCUUCGUCGCGCUCUACGCACGAGGCAUGUGGAAUAGUCAAAUUCUUUCUCGGUCAAAAAGUCAACUUUUUCUUUACUAGAAUAUUCUAAGGGCAAACGUGUCAUUUCCUUUUAAUAGUUUAAUAGUUAAAUAUUAAUUAAGGUUUGGGUUAUUACAAUUUUGCCCCUAGAAUAUUUUAUUAGGUUUAAAGUUGACUUUUUGAUCGGGAAUGAAUUUGAAAAUUUCAACUGUACCGUUGCGUAGAGCAUGGCAAGAUGAGUCCGUAGACACGUAGUGAGCUUGAAUCGGAGCUGUGACGAAGAAGUGACAAGCAAAACAUCACCAAUGGUACAAUCGUAAAUAUUGAGAAAAAGGUUUGAUAAAAUUUGAUUUUUUCUCUCUCUCGGCGCAGUCUCUCUCCUCUCUCUCGCGACGGUAGUGCCAACCGGCAACAUUUUGGCUAGCCGUCCUCUCGUUCGGCCACCAAAGCUGACGGGGCCGGUACCAAAAUGACCUGGCCACCGUCCUCUUCCAACCCCAGUCCUUCACCGCCUCGGUCUGCCUCCGUUAGUUGGGUUAAGUGAUUAAGUGAGAUUAUGAGAUUAAUUUAUUGUUUGAAACUGGGGAACAGCGGAUGUUUUAUGGUUGUUUGAAGUUUAUGCAAUAUUAGAAUUUGGAAUAUAUGAUUAUUAAGAAGUGAGUGGACAUUUAUUUUAAUAUGCACUAUUUUCAAUGAUUGAAAGAAUAUGCAUGGAUUUGGUAUAUAUAUAUAUAUAUAUAUAUAUAUAUAUAUAUAUAUUUGGAAUAAGGAUUGGGAAAUUUAUAAGUUUCGAUAUGAGUAAUAUGAAAUUGAGAAUUGAAUUUUGAUGUGGGAAGUUAUAUGAUUAUAUUAUGUAUAAGUACAUACUUCCUAUACGUGGCGUUGAAAUUUCCGGCGUAUAGGAAGAAUGUAUGAUUAUGUAAGUCUCACAAGUGACGUUGGAUUUUUCAGUGUGUGAGACACUUCCUAUACGUGGCGUUGGAAUUUCUGGCGUAUGGGAAGAAUGUAUGAUUAUUUAAGUCUUACACGUGGCGUUGGAUUUCCCAAUUUGUGAGACACUUCUCAUACGUGGCGUUGGAUUUUCCGAUGUAUGGGAAGGAUAUGUGAUUUAAUGGUCUCACACGUGGCGUUGAAUUUUCCGGCGUGUGAAACACUUCCCAUACCUGGCGUUGAAUUUUCCGACGUAUGGGAAGGAUAUGUGAUUUGAUGGUCUCAUACGUAGCGUUAUAUUUUUCGGCGUGUGGGACACUUCCCAUACGUGGCGUUGGAUUUUUCGACGUAUGAGAAGGAUAUGUGAUUUGAUGGUCUCACACGUGGCGUUGGAUUUUAUGGCGUGUGAGACACUUCCCAUACGUGGCGUUGGAUUUUCCGACGUAUGGGAAUGAUAUGUGAUUUGAUGGUCUCACACGUAGCGUUGAAUUUUUCGGCGUGUGAAACACUUCCCAUAUGUGACGUUGGAUUUUCCUGCGUAUGGGAAGGAUAUGUGAUUUGAUGGUCUCACAAGUGGCGUUGGAUUUUCCGGCGUGUGAGACACUUCCCAUACGUUGCGUUGGAUUUUUCGGGGUGUGAGACACUUCCCAUACGUAGCGUUAGAUUCUCCGGCUUAUGGGAAGAAUAUGUGAUUAUUAGGUCUCACACAUGGCAUUGAAUUUUCCGGCGUAUUGGAAGAAUAUGUGAUUAUGUAGUCUCACACGUGGCGUUGAAAUUUCCUGCGUGUGAGACACUUCCCAUACGUGGCGUUGGAUUUUCCGGCGUAUAUGAAUAAUAUAUGACUAACAGGUCUCACACGUGGCGUUGGAAUAUUCCGGCGUAUGAGACAUUAUGAUUAUGUUAUUAGCUCAUCACACGUGGCGUUGGAAUAUUCAGCGUGUGAUAGAAUAAUAGGGAGAAGAAAAAGGGAUUAUUUUACUAUAUCGAGGAAAGAGUGAUGCUUAAAAGAAUUAUGUUUGGUGUGUUGUGAUUUAAAUUAAAAAGGGAAAGGAGUAAAUUCUAGAAUGUAUUAUUUUUGUGUUGCUGUAAUGGUUUGUACGUUAUCGGAAUCGGGAUUUUGUGGAAAGAACUACGUGUGGCUUGAUCCCUCAGUAAGAGUACGUAGGUAGCCUGGGGUCCCACUCAGGUGCAGCCGCAGACUAAAUUUUAUUUAUGUUGUUUUAUGGAGAUUGGUUCUGACCUGGUCGUUGGUCCUGAAAUUCGGUUGAAAACGAGAUGCGAUUAAAUAAUUGUUCAUACUCCCGUCUGGCUGAGGGAGGAUUGUGUAAAUGUGUUCUGGUCAAAACAGGCACAAAGCUUGUUUUGGAUUGAUGUACGAUUUGGGCUAAAACCUUAAACUAUUUGCGAUUGCGUUAAGAGGUUAAAACCUCGCAUAUUGGAUAGUUGGGAAAGUUAGAUGAUGUAAAUUUCAUUUGGCAUUCAUAAGUGUGUUUGAGUUUAUUAUUUGCCUUGUUUAAGGUAUGAUUUGGCUUAAGGACUUUGUUGGUAGUUUGGUUUCGGAUCAUUUGAGGGCCGGAUGCCGAUUUUGUGAAUUGCAUGAAAUUAUCUUGUGCAUGCUGCCGGUUGGUGAUAUUAAAUGUGUUUUAUGCAGGUUGAAAUUUUUGGGAAUUGUUCAAUUUACAGGGGAGACUCUGCCAAAAUUUUGGUAGAAAGUCUCGGUCUGUAAUAAGUGGGCCCGACGUCGAUGUGAUGUUGGAAUUUCCACAGGACUCAUCUCGGGUUUCAAGGAAUUCGGGGUGGGUCCUGUCAGGUGACCUCCAUCCCUCUCCUCCUCCCCUUCCUUCCCCUCUUUACGUACCCUCCCAGACAUGUCCCUCCCUUAUCCACCUCUACCCAUCCCCUCCAGGGCCUCCAUCUUAGUUGAGUGUGGUGGCCGCAGAAAAACUUAGUUGAUAAUGUGAUGUGGUAUUGACUUGUUAACUAAAAGUAUUUGAGCCAUAAUAACUAAUUUAUUGGUGUGUAAUAUAUAUAAAUUCUAUUAGAGUGCUACUAUUUCCAUCCACUUAUCCUAUUUUUCUAUCAAUCUUAUCUUCUCACUCAUCAUGUAAAUUUGAAAAAGCACAAUCCUAUUUUUCCACCCAACAUUAUUUCUAAAAUACCCUUUAUAAAUCACCUUAUGUGGUAUGCCAACUCAUCUAAUACAACUAAGUUUUUUUAAUUGUUUUAUUAUUAUAUCCUAAUUAAAGCAAUAAUUACCAAAAAGUCUUUCAAUCCCCCUUUUUCUUCUUCCUCCUCCCCCACACUCUUCCCACAAAAUUUCCAUUAUCGCCAGAUUUCUCACGGGCGCCGCUAAACCCAUCUCGCUCACUCAUUCUUCCAUGACAGUUCCCUUUCUUCACCAUGGCAGUUGUAUCGGAUUUCUCACUGCAACUGCAUCAUUGUUCAUGCCUCUCUCAUCUUCUAUAUUUUCUAGAUCUAUAUAUAAAGAUAAUUGGUUUAGAUAAUUACAUUGUUCUGGGUGUUUGGGAUACAAUAACUAAUAAUUAUAAAACCUAUCAUGAACCGAUUUGUUUUAAGACUUCAACUAAGAAAGUUAUUGAGAUAUUUGUUGUGGUGAUGAAAGAAAAGAUUUUUUCAGAUUUGCAGGAAGAGUUUAGUUGAAUUUUUUGGAUGGUCUAAAGAGGAUAUAAGGUUUCUAUAGGAGUAGCCUUUUGAAUUAUCUAGCCACUCCCCAUCUGAUUAUGCUUCGCCAUGUGAAAUCCUAUUACUCAGGACGAAACGUAAUUGAUUGAGAAUAAUAAAACAGUGCUAUCCACGUGGUAUUGACAAGCAAGUGGGGUUGUAGGAGGCAUGCAUGUGGAGUAUGUAUUGGAAUAUAGUGUGGAAAAUAAUUUUCUUUCAAUAAUUAAUUGUCCCUUUUCCUUGCAUUCAUUUUUCGUCCUUCUGCCCUGAGGGAAAGGGUAUAAAUUGGUUGAAUUGUCAUUGUAGUCCUACAAUUCUUAUAGAGCGUAAUAGACAUUUCAAACUUUUCCUAAAUGGUCUCGGUCAAGAGAUUAUAGGGUUGUUUGUUAGGGAGGACUAGAUUAGACUAGACUAAACUAACAAAAUGACUAUAUUUCAUGUGCAUUCAAAGCAUAAUAUGAAUAUUUUGCCUAACUUGGAGGAAUAAUAGGGACUAUCUAUAAGAGGUUGAUUACUAAAACUUAUCCCCCUAUCCACCUCUACCCAUCCCCUCCUCCAGGCCCUCCAUCUUAGCUGAGUGUGGUGGCCGCAGAAAAACUUGGUUGAUAAUUUGAUGUGGCAUUGACGUGUUAACUAAAAGUAUUUGAGCCAUAAUAACUAAUUUAUUGGUGCGUAAUAUUCAUCAGUUGUAUUAUGUUGUUUCUUUCUGUAAACAUCGAAAUUUCAACAUCUAGAAAGCUAGGAAAUAAUCAAGUCGCCAAGACAUCCCCCUUGACAUUUAUUGGAUUGCCAAACUUUUACUAGUAUUACUACAUUAAAAUUUGCAUAGCGCUUUCACUUUACUUCCAAGAAAGGGAAGAGAAAAGAAAAUAAGAAAUGAAAAACAAAAAACAAGUCAAAAUAUGCAUGAAUGCUCGAUCGCAUGAUUCUCCGAUCUAUGAAUUCUUUUCUAUUUUGCUUUUUAUGAUUUAGGUUUAAUCAGAAGACCAAAAAUAAAAAUACUAAUGGCCAGGAUCCCUUCAGGCACACACUGUGAUCAAUUAAGCCUAUUAGUAAGGCUUCACCCCAACAGAGUUGCCUGCAGGAUCAUAGUGGCAAACGACAUAGGAACCUCCAUAGGCGCACUGGACUUUGGCACACCCAACAAGCCCUGUGUCACGCCAAACGACCUGCGUAUAAUGGCCACACUGCUUCCCAGGGGCGCAGGUGUUGGUCUUGUAAUCAUAAUCGGCCUUCUCCGCCACCCAUUGGUCCACAGCCAAUUUCGCCGUCAAGUCUCCGUCAGGGCUCAUUGCAAGGUUUUCACCAGGGCCUGAAUUCGAGUGCACGAGGUCGCAGUCGCCGGCACGUUGGUUAGCAUAGUUUUUCGCAGAAUCUGCUAGGCCUUCAUCCCAGUCCAAGGUGUCGAGGCCAACCGCCGCUCGCGCCGCGUUGUGGGCUUUCACGUAGUCAUCUGGGGCGUUUUGGGCACGGGCUAACCCUAUUAGGCAAAUUAAAAGUAGGGCUAAUGAGAUCUUGUUCUUGCACAACCCUUCCAUAAUGUUAAUUAGUGGUUAAUUGUAAUAAUCUACAGAUUGUUCUGCUAAAGAGUUUCUUGUUGGAUAUGGAUUGGAAAAUACCUCAUUAUAUAUGUUGGAGAAAAUUAUAUAUGUUGUUAUUUUUGUGGAUGUGAAAAUUAAUUUUGUUUGCAUCAUGUGUAACCAAGGAAGAGCCCUAUAAGUUGCCGAAAUACCCGCACCUUGCAGAACCUAAAAUAGCUAGGCUCCUUUUAAUUGAGGAGGAGCUCCUACUCAAAACAAAUAGAAUUUUGACACUUGACAAAUUCCUUUAACCUUAUUUUUUUGUUUGAACUUGAACAAGUCUCAAACUUUUCCUUGGCCUAAACUUUUGUCAUUUCUAAUUUAAUCAGGGCUGAUGAGAUCUUGUUUUUUUUUAAAUUUAUAAUUAUUUAUAAUUUUUUUUUAGUAUAGGGGAUGAGGGUUGCUCACACACACAUACACAUAAAACUAAGAUGACAUGGGGGUUCGAACCUGAGACCUCUGGUUUGUAAGUGAAAGUCCUUUUCCACUAGGCUAGACUCCGUUAACGAUGAGAUCUUGUUCUUGGGGUGACGGAGACAUUUGUUGAUGGAAAAAUAUUGAGAUGUACGUCUAGUGGUUGGAUCAUUUAGUUAAAUUAGUUUUGUUUGCAUAUGUGUAACAAUGUAAGUGUAACCAAAGAAGAACCCUAUAAGUCGCCAAAACACCCGCCCCUUAAGAACUAAAAUCUUUUGUGCCAUUUGUAUCACCACCAUAAAUAUCAAGAAACUGAAAUUGUUAUUAAUCAGCACCAAAAAAAAAGAAAAAAAAAAAAGACUCCAACUAGUUAAACAAUUGUGUCAAUUUGGUCAAAUAUAGAGACAUUAUUACAGUUACAAAGAACCAUCAUAUUGGCUAUGGAGUAAAAUUGCGGAAAUACGCUCACCUUUCACGAAAAUAAAUGGGAGCCACAAAAUGAACCAUCAUGUCCUGGAAGAAGAUUAGCGACGUUUGUUAUUCCUUUUGUCGGCGUUUGUUAAAUUUUUCGUCUUGAUCUUUUUUGGUCAAUAAAGUCAAGAAACUCUGUGAGUUUUUUUGUGUUUUUUCUUCUCAUAAUUCAAGAAACUUUAUUGAGUUUGUUGGGUGUUCUUAGGGGGGUGUAUUCAAUUAGGAUUCUAGAGCGUUGAAAAAGAUUUUAAAAAUCCGGGUGUAUUCAAUUUGGAUUUAUACAAACUUUUAAAAAGUCUAUAACAGUUUGAGUGUAUUCAAUCUAGACUUGGUUGAACUUAUAAAAUGUCCAUCUAAAUGUGGGUGUAUUCAAUUAGGACUUGGAAAAAGUCUAAAUAAAUUUACCUGUAUUCAAAAGGAGAUAGAUUUGGAAGGAUUUAAUUAAGUGUUGGAGUUUGGAGAAUUUGUAGGUUUUAGGUAUAAAUAAUAAAGGCCAACAUAAGUCUAACCUCCACCCGAAAGAUUUCAUAUGACUUUUUUAUAUAUAUAUUUUUCUCCCUGUGUUAGAAAAUUUUCCAUCGUUUGGAAAACAAUGCACUAAGCCAUGCACUGACCUUGGGUGGUUACAAGCGUCCUGUGUUAAGCAAAGCUCCUCCAUUAGUGAUUUCUUCAAAUCAACCAGUUCGAGUUAUUGGGAGGAAAGCUCGGCUAGAGAUUUUUCGAUCUCCGAUAAGUUCCCCUUGGAUAUCUCUCGGCAUGAAGCCAACAUCAAGGCGGUGGAAGGUUGAGAUAUAUUUCCAUCACCAUAACAUUACUAGAUGAUAGGGCCCUUGCUUUUUGGAUAAAGGGUUGUUUUUUGUUUUGUUUUUUUUAAAUUGAAUUUUUGGACAAAGAGUUUGCUGUUCGUGAACAAAAUCAAAGGGAAAUUUCCAACUAGUGGAAAUAUCGAAGGGAAAUUCAAUUUGAAAUUCAUUGUUUAGGUAUGAAAGUUUCCAACUUGUGGAAAUUUCAAAGGGAAAUUCACUGUUUAGGUAUGAAAGUUUUCAACUCAUGGAAAUUUCAAAGGAAAAUUCAUUGUUGUGCACACAAGUAGAGGAAGAAUUUGGAAAUAAAAAAAAAACAAAAAACAAAAAGGGGAUGGUCGACUAGUGGCUAGGUCAAGAUAGUUUAAAGAAAAUAGUGUUGGGAAGAAAGAGUGAUAAAAGAAAAUAGUAUUGGGAAGUCUAUGCAAAUAUAUCUGAAUUUAUAACAAAAGUUUAUACAAAAGUAUGGAAGUCUAUAAUAAAAGCCUAUAUAAGUUCAUUAAAAAUCCGGGUAAAACAAUAGGAGUUAUACAAUUCCAGGAAAUCUGUCACUUAAAAAAAAUCUUUCACAAUCGUAUACAAUCCUAAUUGAAUACAACCCCCUUAGUCUCUUUAGAAGAGUCAUGCCAGUUCGUGGCUAAUUUUGUCCUUGAUAUCAUUGAAUUAUAUUUGGGAAAUUAUGGCGGUAGAAAUGGGUAUGGAAAAGUUAUUUUCGAGAGUGAUUCUCUCCAGAUCCUUUUCAGCUUUUUUACUGGCUCAAGUCACUAGGGAAGUUUUUACCUAUGUCUGUCAUAUUGCUAAUGGGAUGGCUCCCUUUAUUGUUUAUAUCCUUUGUACUCUUUUUUCACUGUAUCGUCUUUUUAUAAAUUAAAAAUAAAUAAAAUAAAAGGGAGCCACACAAAAUAGUUGGACAUUCCAACAAAAUGCGCAAUACGUUCUUUUGACUGAUGCAAUUUGUUUUGCAAGAGAUUGUUGCUCAACUGAUUAAGAAUAUUUACCCUUGAAUCCUAUGUCCAAGGCUCGAUUCCCCUUAGGGCCCAUUUGGUUCAUGGGAAAGGAGGUUUGGGAAUGAGAAUUCAAUUGUUUUCCCAUAUUUGGUAAGUCCACGCAUGGGAAAUAGUUGCCUGGCACAUGGGAAAGUAGGGGGGAAAGUGAAGCCCUCCUCUUAACUUAAGUUUUGUUUUCCUUCAUCAUGGGAAAGUUUGGAAAAAUAAGCCAACAUUCAAUGCACAAUUUUCAUGAGUAUUUUGUCCAUGAACAAUUUAGAAUUACAAUGUAUCAUUAAAUGCUUUCUUUUUUUAUUUGAUUUAAUAUGGGUAUAAUUGGAAAAUUAUACAAAAUUUGUUUUCCAUUCCUACUUAAAACAAACAUGGGAAAGGAAACAAACGGGACCUUAUCUUAAAAAAGAAAAAAAAAAGAAAAAAAAAAAGAGAGACAACUUUGGACGCAGCAUGCAUAUGUCUCCAGUUUCCAAAAUAAUAAAAAGUCAUUCUUCAUAUCCAUAAAGUUUAGCAUCCACCAUGCAGGUGAAUAAGAUACAAUAGAAUUGAUGAUCUAACAUCACUUCUUAAUUCAUUUUAUUCUUGAUAAUAUAGCUUCAUAGAUAUAGUUGGUUUAGUAAGGCUUCUCCCCAACAUAGUUGCCUGGCGGAUCAUAGUUGCACCCGAUGAAGGUACCUCCACUGUUGCACCUCACUUUUGCACACCCUACACGAGCUGUGUUACGCCAAACAACCUGCGUAUAAUGCCCACACAUCUUGCCAUCGGCACAAGUGUUAGAGUCGUAGUUAUAGUCGGCCUUCUCCGCCACCCACAUGUUCACGGCAUCCGUGCCCGACAAGUCAGCGGUGCUCAUGGCAAGGUUUUCGCCGUAGGGCCCACCAGAGUGGACAAGAUUGCAGUCGCCAAUGUGUUGAUUGGCAUAGUCUUGCGCAUAGCCCUGUAGCUUCUCAUCCCAUGACAAUGGCCCGACGUUUACCGCCGCUCGAGCGUUGUUAUGGGCAGUGACGUAGUCUUGUGGUGUGUCUUGGGCAUGAGUGGAUUGGAGAAGGGCAGAGCCUAAAACACAAACGAGGGCUAGUAAAAUCUUGGACAGCCCCAUGUUGGGUUUUGAGAGUUUGAUAAUGUAUGAAGGAGUUUUUUGUUGCGAGAACGAUGCAUAUGGUGUGGGGUAUUUAUAAUGGAAAAUGUGGAAAUUUAUAUGCGUUACCAUGCAAGAGCGUUCCUAAUACGUUACUGACUCUAUCAAUAAUGGAGUGUGCUUGUGCAAUAUAAUAUCAAAAUACUUGAGAGCUUGUAAAAUAUAUUAUCGAUGCAUCUAGAAAACAUAUGAGUUGCUUUGCCAUCAGAAAAUAAAAAAUAAAAAAACGUAUGAGUUGAUCAGUUAGCUAGGUCUAACUAAGGCUAACCGUCAAUUUCGGGGAAUAAAUUGAUGGCAAACUUUGGAAGACAAGAAAAGAAAAGUAAAUUUUGGAAAAUAGGGGAAAGGAAUAUGAAGUAUAUACCAUACCAUGAUUGCUUUGGAAAAUCCUUUAUGGACUUUACCAUACAAUGUGUAGUGCGUGUACUUGUACGGGUCUUGAAAAAGAAAGAGAUAUUUAGUCAUAUAUCCAUUCUUAGCACUAAAAUUAUAAAUAAAUUAUACAUCAUUUAAUUUCUAUAAACAAACCCAACAAAAACCCAAAAAAUGACAGCCGACUCUAUUGAAUUUAAUUUUAAUUAUUAAAUUACUUUGAUGCCCUAUUGAGUGUUUUGGGCUUUUUUAUGAGGUUUUGGGGUUGGGUUCAUUUUAAGAAAUCAAUUACAGUUUUGUAAUUCAAAAGAAGUUAAAAGCAUUUUUGUUAUGUUGUAAAUCGGCUUUGGGUGUGUUUCUAAACUCCAUUUCAUAUAUGAUUUUUUUUUAAUGUAAAUAAUUUGGGCUCUUAUAUUGGGUAUAAUAGUGAAUCUCCCAAAAGGAAAAGUGAAGUCAAUAUAACUGUUGAGGCCCAAAAAAUCUAAGGAGAUUCACUAUUAUACCUAAGGGCCUUCAUGACUCUACUCUCUAGGAUAAUGAGGUAUUGUCAUCUUCUCAAUACGAAGGCAAAUGAAUGAAAAUUGGAGAAAAGAGACUUGAGCAAAUUAUGUUGUGAUAUUGGAGCAUGAGAUUGAUAGGUACAUCACCGACCCUAUUGAAGAUGUGGUUGACUUAUUCGAUGUUUUAAAGUGGUGGAAAUUGUAUGAGGUUAAGUAUCCGGGUUUGGCACUUAUUGCAAAGGAUGUGCUUGCCAUCCCAGUAUCAACGGUGGCUUCAGAAUCAUGUUUUAGCACGGGUGGUUGGAUAGUUAAUUCAUUUCGUGCUUCUUUGACUCCUAAGAUUGUGGAAGCCUUAAUUUGCUCUCAAAAUUGGUUAAGGUAAGAUGACAUAUCCUCUUUAUAAUAUGAGCCAACAAUUCAAGAGAUGAAGUUGAAUUAGGUAUUUCUUUGUAAUUUUAUAUGCUUUAUUAGUGUAUUUUACAAUUUGUAGGUUUCACUAAUGUUUUAAUGGGUUUUUUUAAUUUUAUAUAGAUUUAUGAGUUCAUCCACACCUCCGAAGUCUGCCCCAGCUACUUUUUAAUGUUAGGAGGAAUUUAAUGAAGUUGCAACACUUAGGACUACAUGCUUUUGUGGAGUUUUUGCAUGCUUGUAUUUUGUUUAUAUUUUGCUGCAGUGGGAUUGUAAUUUAUUUUGAUGAAUUUGGAUUGUAAUUUAUUUUUUGCUAAAGUUGGAAUAUAAUUUAUAUUUGUUGAAGUUGGAUUGAUUUUGAUGUGUUAAAAGCUUGGUGGAAGUUUAAAUUUGAGCUUGGCCUAUUUGAUAAUGAACAAAUUGGUAGGUUUGUAGUAUAAUUAAAUUUUGGGCAGGUCUGUAAUAUAAUACAAUUUUGGGCAGAUCUGUAAUGAAAUAAAAUUAUAUAUUACAAUUUUGGGCUCAGGCCAAAAAUCAAAAAUCGCAAGAACCAAACUGGAAUUGGGCAGGUCUGGGUUGGUUCGGUCUUGCCUAUAAAUUUUUGUCAAAACCAGACAAAACCGAAUUGGUCUUCAUUUUCAAUUCAAGUUUUAAUUUUAUAAGAAAUCGGCCUGAGCCGGACCAUACUCACCCUUAAUAUCCAUUAAGUUUAGCAUCCACCAUGCCGGUGAAUAAGAUCAAUGAAUUGAUGAUCUAACAUCACUUCUUAAUUCAUUUUGUUCUUGAUAACAUAGCUUCAUAGAUAUAGUUGGUUUGUUUUUUUAGACGAAUAAAUAUAGUUGGUUUAGUAAGACUUCUACUCAACAUUAUUGCCAAUGGUGAAUAUUAUUGGCGCAUCCAUGCACCUGGCACAUGGUAGAAUUUUUGCAUAGGAGUUGUAAGGCUCGUAAGGCUUCUCCCCAACAUAGUUGCCUGGCGGAUCAUAGUUGCACCCGAUGAAGGUACCUCCACUGUUGCACCUCACUUUUGCACACCCUACACGAGCUGUGUUACGCCAAACAACCUGCGUAUAAUGCCCACACACCUUGUCAUCGGCACAAGUGUUAGAGUCGUAGUUAUAGUCGGCCUUCUCCGCCACCCACAUGUUCACGGCAUCCGUGCCCGACAAGUCAGCGGUGCUCAUGGCAAGGUUUUCGCCGUAGGGCCCACCAGAGUGGACAAGAUUGCAGUCGCCCAUGUGUUGAUUGGCAUAGUCUUGCGCAUAGGCUUGCAGCUUCUCAUCCCAUGACAAUGGCUCGACGUUAACCGCUGCUCGAGCGAUGUUGUGGGCAGUGAGGUAGUCUUGCGGUGCGUCUUGGGCAUGAGUGGAUUGGAGAAGGGCAGAGCCUAAAACACAAACGAGGGCUAGUAAAAUUGUGGACAGCCCCAUGUUGGGUUUUGAGAGUUUGAUAAUGUAUGAAGGAGUUUUUUGUUGCGAGAACGAUACAUAUAGUGUGGGGUAUUUAUAAUGGAAAAUGUGGAAAUUUAUGUGCGUUACUAUUCAAGAGCGUUCCUAAUACGUUACUGACUCUUAUCAAUAAUGGAGUGUGCUUGUGAAAUAUAAUAUCAAAAAUACUUGAGAGCUUGUGAAAUAUAUUAUCGAUGCAUCUAGAAAACAUAUGAGUUGCUUUGCUAUCAGAAAAAAUAAAAUGAAAAAACGUGUAUGAGUUGACCAGUUAGCGUCUAAAGAAGGCUAACCGUCAAUUUCGGGGAACAAAUUGAUCGCAAACUAUGGAAGACCAGAAAAGAAAAGUAAACUUUGGAAAAUAGGGGAAAGGAAAUUCUUUAUGGACUUUACCAUACCAUGUGUAGUGCGUGUAGUCUGUACGUGUGAAUGAGCUAAUAUGGCUCAAGUCCCACCAUGUUUACAGGAGGGUCGUAAUUGCAAAGAAACAAAACUCCACCCACUAUUACGCUGUACCCUUCCACACCCAAGACAAACCCAAGUGUCCCAAACACACUAAGUUUUGGACUCGUAGUUAUAUAAUUGGGCUUCGGCUCGACCAAGGCUCUCUUGGGCGCUUCUGAAUGUACCAAAUUACAAUUUUCAGCCCAGGCAAAGUCCAUAAACUGAAAUGUCAUUGCCCCAAUUUCCGCGUGUCAUUUAAUAAUUUUCAUGCUUAAAUUGCCAAACAAUGGAAAUAUCAAUUUCUCCUCUUUAAUUUCCGGCUUUUAACCAAAUUCCAAGUUAUUUUCCUCCAUCCAAACGGAGGGUUAAGGACUCUCUCUCUCUCUCUCUCUCUCUCUCUCUCUCUCUCUCUCUCUCUCUCUCUCUCUCUCUCUCUCUCCCAUUUGUGUACCGUGUCCUAUGAAAGUCAUGAUUUUCGGGGUUUUUAUCACAAAAAGGUACUGGAAAAAUCCGAAAAUUGCUCCUUAAGAAAUAAAAUUUAUUCUUAAAAAAAAAAACCUGAAAUAAAAAAUAAGACCGCAAAUUAACUAAUAGAUGUGGAGGAAAAUGGUUGGUCGGGUUCAGAGUCAGAAAAUUACGAGUAAGGAUCUUGUCCUCACCUCUUAAAAUUACGAGUUAAUAUGGUCAAGUCUCUUUGAGUUUUAGGGAGAGAAGUAUCACUAGCCCAAAAUCAAGAGUUAAUUAGUAUUAAUUAAAGAGAGGUUGAUGACAAUUAAAAAUAAAGAGAAUGAAAUAAAAACUUACAAAAAAUGAAAUAAUUUUUACUUCUUUUUUAUAUAUGUCAUCUCCUCUUAUAAUCAACAGUCACGUAAAAGAAUGUUGGGAGGGUGAGGAGGUAAAUUCGUACACACCCGUUACAUGUAAUCGCCUCUAUCCCCUCUUAUUCUUGUAAUUUCUCAACAACAAAAAUACAAGACCCCCAAACAGGCCUAGUCGAGGUGUGCACGUAUGUUUGUGUGACAUGUAAAUUUAGUGUCUAGUAGGGAUGGUCCUCCUCAUUAUAAGCAGGAUCAUAGUUGCAGAUGACAUAGUUUAGUCCAUUCUUGCACUUUGAAAUGCCACAACCAACUUCGGUGGUUUUGCCCCAAAUCACACCAAGGUAAUGUCCACAUUCGUCUCGGACGCAUUUGUUUAGGUCGUAGUCAUAAAACUCCUUCUCAGUGACCCAAUACUUGGCGGCAGCUGCUCCAGACAUGCCUUCUCCUGAGGCCAAGUUCUCACCAUAAGGCCCCAUUGAGUGCUCCAUGGCGCAGUCAUCAACUCUCUUGUCUGCAUAAUCUUGGGCAUACUUGGCUAGGGUCGCGUUCCAUUUGAGUGGACGGUUGCCGACCUGGGCGCGGGCCUUGUUGUGUUCCUCCACGAAGCCAUCGAUAUCUUCUUUGGAAAGGUCUGCAGAGACAAGAGUGAAGAACAAUGCAACCGAGCAGAUGGCCAGAAGAAGCUUGAUGUUGAACGCCAUUUUGUUUCUCGGUAUGAGAAAGGUCUCGGAUGUUAUUGUAUUAGAGAAUGUUGAAUUGAUAGAGGUUAAUUGAAAGGGGAAAUGAGAUUGUGCAUAUUUAUAUAGUUGAGAGGGUUAAAUAUAGGAUCCUUGAAAAUGGGAGGGUUUCUCAAGUUCUAUAAAUAACCAUGGAGAACAAAUAAGACUUGUGAGAGUGGAUUUUAGAUUCAUAGAAACAGUGUAUUGUCGGACAAUCAAUCUAUACCAUUGAUUAAGUAGGUUUUAUUUUAAUCCUAUAUUACAAUAUAUAAUCAUUACUUAGGUGAGGAUUUUUAGCUGCAAUGACAAACAUUUAGCCUUGCAAUGAGGAUCAAAGUUUUGACUCUCGUCUUCUCUAUCUCAUAAAUAAAGUAGUCGUUACUCCAGAAUGAUAUAAAUGAACUUGUAAUAUGGCCCCUCUGUCAACUUCUUGUGGCUUUUAAAAAUAAAAGGUAAAGCAUUAUGCUUCUUACCAAAAUACAAAGAAAUGAAAGAGGAAGCAAAUUAAUUAGACAAAAAGGUCACCUUUCGUUCAUGUAGUUUGAUGAAAUUUUCACUUUUGUUCUUGUAAUUUUAAUUCUAGCAAUUUGACCUAUGUAGUUUGAUAAACACGCGUCUCUUACGUGGAGGAGUAUUUUGUACCGAAUUUUGGACGAAAUUCGCUGGAAAUUUAGAUGGGUCCUUGAAUUGCGAUAGAAUCAAACUACAAAAGUUAAAUGACAAAAUUAAACUACAUGGAUCAAAAUAAAAAAAAAUUCCAACAAAUUACACGGACCAAAAAUGACUUUUUUUCCCAAAUAAAUAUGGAUAUAGAGGAAAACGUUUGAAAGGUUUUGCCUCUCUUGGUCUUGCAACAACUUUGGGCUCUCAUCUGCCCGAUUUGCCCCAUAUCAGAUUGGCAUUGUUUGGCCCAUGAAAAACUCUUGCUAGUUUUCUCGGUUUUCAAGCCCAUUGUAGCAAAAAGGAAAUACAUAUGGUUGUUUAGCCUUAUGUUUCUUAGCAAACUAAUGGAUAAUUAUUCUUUUAUUAAAAUUUUGGAUAAACCAAUUACAUUUUUGUCUAGUUAUAUUUUUCUUUCCAAUAUUAAAAACAAAAAAAAUUCUCAAAUUCGAAUCUUCCCUCACUUAAAGAUUUUUUUUUAAAAAAACACAUAGACAUAACUGGAAAAACCAUAGAAAUAAUUAGUGAAAUAUAAUUACAACGAACACAUUCAAAUUUUUAAAAUCUAUAAAGACAAAAGAGAUCCAAGUUCCUACCUAUAAUCACUGCAACCACAAUCUUGACCAAGGGUUUUAAUCCAAAGAAUCUUUGAGAUCUUGAAUAAAGUUAGGUGACAUCUCAACCUUUACGACAAGUGUUCUAUUCUACUUUAUCUCUCCAAUCAUAUGAAGUUCUAAUCUUACUUGAAAUGGUAUAAGAUCAGUCCUGAUCUCUUGGACUACAGGGGUUCAAGAGAUUUGUGGUCACUCACCGUUGGAUGUAAAUUCAACGGUUCACUCACUCUUGCACUUCUUUGAAGAAACUUUUUUGAACCAUUGGAUUAAUAUCUAACGGUGGGUGACCACAAUCUCUUGGUCUCCUGUGGUUCAAGAGAUCAGGACUCGGUAUAAGAUAUCAUAUAAGAUUUGUUAUAUUUAUAAUGGAAUGGGCUAAAUUUACUUUAAAUUUACUUUACGUGAAGGAUGUUGUAUUAGAAAUUUUGGGCUAAGAAAAACCACCACACCUGGGCUAUAGCUCAAGUUAGUCCUUACUAAGGACCAUCCUUGUUUAUUGUACAACCACAAUCAAAUUGGUAUACAAAUCUCAAUUCAACAAAUCUCAUAUAUACAUAAAGAAACGGUGCAUGCAAACAUCGUGAACAAGAAAAUCUUAGGUGGCAUUUGGUAUCCUAUUCAAGUAUGGAAUUCAAAAAUUUUUAUUUUUCUUGAAAACAAAGAGUCCUAAAACCCAUUUUUUAAGAUUCAAAAACUUGUUUGGUAUUCAAUGAGGGAACUCAAACUUUAAAAACAAGGAGUUCUAAAAUCCAUGUUUGAAGAUUAAAAAACUUGAUCAGACCAAAAAAAAAAAAAAAAGAUUAAAAAACUUGUUUGUUAUGCAACUUGAAAACAGUUUCUUUGAAAAAAAUUCUAUAAAAUAGAUUUGUUAUAUUUUCAAGUAUUUGGGUGUUUUUGAGUUAUUUUUUAGUUUAGGUUUUCAAAACUAGGUCUCUACCAAAUUUUUUUUUUGAGUUUUGGACUUAAAUAAUUUUUUAUUUUUUAUUUUUUGUAAAGUUUCACAAGUUGGAUUCAAAUAGAAUACCAAACAUGCACUUCACAUCCUUUUGAUAUUCCAUUUGUCAAUUAAAGACAAAGGCGUGAUGCAGAGGCAGACGAGAGAGAUUGACAAAAAAAAAAAAGAACGAGAAUGAGAUAAUAUUUCAGUUAGAAAUUACAAAAAUGAAAUAAUCUUAUUCUUUUUCAUUUUUUAUUCACUCUUGUCACCUCUCACAAUACCAUAUCAAGUGCUAGUCACGUAAAAAAAUGUUGUGAGUGUGGGGAAGUAUUUGUAUACAUUCGUUACAUUUUAUUUUUCUAAUGUCAGUAAAAGAAAAAAAAAAAACACUGGACCUCUCAACAGGCCUAAUGUUGGUGUGGUUACACGCACGUGAGCAUACAUACAUCAUCUAGUAGGGGCGCUCGUCCUCGGGCUGGUAUAUGGGAUUGUAGCUGCAAACUACGUAGUUUUGUCCAUUCUUGCACUUUGAAAUGCCAUAUCCGACCUCGGUGAUUUUGCCCCAGACCACAGCAAGGUAGUGACCACAUUCGUAUUUGACGCAUUUGUUGGACUUUUCGUCAUAGAACUCCUUCUCGGUGACCCAAUACUUGGUAGCAGCUGCACUGCUCAUGCCGUUGCCAGAGGCCAAGUUCUCACGCCAACGCCCAAUCGAGUGCUCCAUGGCGCAAUCGUCAACUCUUUUCUCGGUAUAUUCUUGGGCAUACUGGCCUAAGGUUGUGUUCCACUUGAGGGGUUUGUUGCUGACCUCUUUACGAGCCUUGUUGUGCUCCUCGUCGAAGCCAUUGAUCUUUGCUUUGGAAAUGUUUGCAGAUUGUUGUGCUCCUCGUCGAAGCCAUUGAUCUCUGCUUUGGAAAUGUUUGCAGAGACAACAGUGAAGACCAAUGCGACGCAACAGAUGGCCAAAAGAAGCUUCAUGUUGAACGCUAUUUUUGUUUCUUGAUAUGAGAAGUUUAAGGUUUGUCCUUUAUAUAUAUAUAAUUGUUGAAUUAAUAAUUGACACAAAUUAAUGUACUAAUCAUCCAAUUAUAAACUAGGCAUGAGUAAAGAAAAGUAAAUGAAAUGAAUAUAUGUGAUUUAAGUGAUAUAAUCAUAAACCUAAACUCUUAUUUACAAAAUUAUAUAUGUAUCCGGGCCUAAUGGGCCGGGCUAUCUUAGGCUUAAUCGGGCUGGGUUAGGCUUCAGACACCCAAGCCCAAGCUAAGCCCAGCCCAAGACGGUCGGGCCAUCUCAAAGCCAAUAAUGAGUCGGACCGGACUUUUUUUUAAUGGGCUUGGUGGGCCCCCAUUGGCCCAUGAGCCCACAUACCAAAUGAUGAGGCCUAUCUAUGGCUAACACCCUUUGACCACAAAUUGGCUGUGGUCAAAAUGAUUAAAAGCCACAGGUAAUAUGUGGCUUAUAAGUUCGUUUUCUAGUAGUGACGAUUGUUUAGCCUUAUGUUUCUUACCAAAGUAAUGGAUAAUUAGUCCCUUAUUAAAAUUUUGGAUAAACCAGUUAGGUGUUUGUCUAGUUGUAUUUUUCUUUCCAAUAUAAGAAGUCUUAAAUUUGAUUCUUCCCUCACUUGAAGACGAAAAAAAAAACAUAGACAUAAUUGAUGACAUAUAUUUACAACCAACACAUUCAAAUUUUCAAAAUCUAUAAUGACAUAAAGCAAUCCAAGUUCCUACCUCUAAUCACUGCACCCACAAUCUUGACCAAGUGUUUUAAUCCAAAAAUUCUUUUAGAUCUUGAAUAAAAAGUUAGGUGACAUUUCAACCUUUACCACAAGUGUUCUAUUAUACUUUAGCUUCCAAUCAUAUGAAGUUCUAAUCUGACUUGAAAUGGUAUAAGAUAUCGUACAAGAUUUGUUAUAUUUACUAGCCUCUUGGCACAUGCUCACGCAUGUACCAAUUGGUUUUAUUUUUUAUUUUUUAUUUUUUUAUUUUUAAAAUAAAAAAAACAACAUGGAUAGUUAUGUUCCACAAAAGUAGGACAUAUUAUAUGAUUUUGUUUUUAAUUUUAAUUUUUUUAAUAUAAAAAAUGUGAAUUUACCAUAUUAUCCUCAUUUAAUUAAUAAUUUUAAUUCUUAAUCUUUCAAUUAACUAAGGGUAUUUUAUGGUAUUUUGAAUGUUUCACCAUUCUCUGACUUUUGCUUGAUAUAUAUAGAUAAUGAGAUGGACUAAAUUUACCUUACGUGAAUUAUGUGUAGGCUUCGGUGGGUUGUAUUAUAAAUGAUGGGCUAAGAAAAAAAACCACACAUGGGCUAUAGCCCAAGUUAAUCUUUACUAAGGACCGUCCCUAAUUAUGAUACAACCCACAAUCAAAUUGGUCUACAAAUAUCUGUUCAAAAAAUCUCAUAUAUACAUAAAGAAACAGUGCAUGCAAACACGUGCAUCCAUGAACAAGAAAAUCUUAGGUGGCGAUUGGUAUCUAUUCAAGUAUGAAAUUCAAAAACUUUGAUUUUUCGUAAAAACAAAGAGUUCUAAAAUCAAACUUUUAAGAUUAAAAAAUUUGUUUGGUAUUCAAGGAGGGAACUCAAACUUUAAAAACAAGGAGUUCUAAAAUCCAUACUUUAAGAUUAAAAAUAAUUUGUCGUAAAAAUUCUUAAAAAACCGAUUUGUUUGGGUUUUAAGUAUUUGUGUGGUUUUGAGUAACUAAGUCUACCAAACAUAUUUUCUGAAUUUUGGACUCAAUUUAUUUUUUUAAAGUUUAAAAAGUUGAAUUCAAAUAAAAUACCAAACAUACACUUAACAUCCUUUCGAUAUCACAUUUGUCGUAUUUUUCAAACAAAAUUAAAGACAAAUACGAGAUGGGGAGGCAUUAGACAAUUGAGAUUGAGCAAAAAUAAAAAAAAACAUAAAGAGAAUGAGAUAAUAUUUAGUUUCAAAUUACAAAAAAAAUGAAAUAAUAUUAUUCUUUUCAUUUUUUAUCCAUUCUCUUGUCACCUCUAGUAUGGGCGCUCGUCCUCGGGCUGGUACAUGGGAUCGUAGCUGCAAACGAUGUAGUUCUUUCCAUCCUUGCACUUUGAAAUGCCACAUCCGACCUCGGUAGUUUUGCCCCAGAUCACAGCAAGGUAGUGACCACAUUCCUCUUUGACACAUUUGUUGGACUUGGGGUCAUAGAACUCUUUCUCGGUGACCCAAUAUUUAGUGCCAGCUGCGCCAGUCAUGCCGUCACCCGAGGUCAAGUUCUCACCCCAACGCCCUCUUGAGUGCUCCAUAGCGCAGUCGUCAACUCUUUUGUUGGCAUAUUCUUGGGCAUACUGGGCCAAGGU
This 26358-nucleotide long non-coding RNA is filed under the name Prunus persica (peach). Its description in RNAcentral is "long non-coding RNA (PPER_LNC008397)". The record is from RNAcentral. Lineage: Eukaryota; Viridiplantae; Streptophyta; Magnoliopsida; Rosales; Rosaceae.